RNAcentral lists this ribosomal RNA (258 nucleotides) under uncultured bacterium. RNAcentral describes it as "partial 16S ribosomal RNA". It matches the Rfam family "Bacterial small subunit ribosomal RNA", at positions 524 to 779 of the family's 1533-position model. The record is from RNAcentral.
UACGAAGGGGGCUAGCGUUGUUCGGAUUUACUGGGCGUAAAGCGCACGUAGGCGGAUCGUUAAGUCGGGGGUGAAAUCCUGGAGCUCAACUCCAGAACUGCCUUCGAUACUGGCGAUCUAGAGUCCGGAAGAGGUGAGUGGAACUCCUAGUGUAGAGGUGGAAUUCGUAGAUAUUAGGAAGAACACCAAGUGGCGAAGGGCGGCUCACUGGUCCGGUACUGACGCUGAGGUGCGAAAGCGUGGGGAGCAAACAGGAUU